GUGUUUGUUGAAAGGACAUAUGAUUGGCAUCUUCCUAAAUAGGGACAAAACAGCCUUUGGGCCUUCUUAUUACCAAAUAUAACACCGUUAAGGCUAUCCACCUCUUCGAGGUAGAUCUUACCUAAUUGAUUU
RNAcentral lists this non-coding RNA (132 nucleotides) under Amborella trichopoda. Lineage: Eukaryota; Viridiplantae; Streptophyta; Magnoliopsida; Amborellales; Amborellaceae. The record is from RNAcentral.